CCUGCGCUAUAAAAGAGGCCGCUCGCUGCUCUCUGUUCUCUUUCCUGCGCACCUCGUGGUUGCUAGCACUCUCACUGCUACUUAAGCGAUUAAAACAUGUGCGUACCGCGUUACACGCGAGGAGCAGGUCGCCACGCUCCCAGACCACCUUUAUAAAUAUUGUGACUUGAUCGUGAUUAUCUGCUGGAUGGGUUCCUUCGUGAUUUUAAGCGCAGUUCACUGAAAUGGUGGACUUAAUGUGAACAUCUGAUCCUUGACGCUUGAUGAAUCCGCUUCCAGAACCCGUCUGAAGCAUGUUUUCUGUCUAUAGAUCGAUCAGAAGCCACCGUGAAGUCUCUUGAUUCACCUGGAUGCAGUGCUAAGCGCUCCAUGGUGACCGUGACGAAUGCUGGAGAUUGACGUCAGACCAAAUGUCUUUACAAUGUUUAUUAAAUAAAAACUAUGAAAACUA
Long non-coding RNA from Carassius auratus (goldfish), 451 nucleotides. RefSeq lists it as uncharacterized. Lineage: Eukaryota; Metazoa; Chordata; Actinopteri; Cypriniformes; Cyprinidae. The record is from RefSeq and is a predicted model, not a curated record. The transcript has 4 exons.